GAAAGUAAGAAAGGGCGUAUGGCGGAUGCCUAGGCUCACGGAGGCGAUGAAGGACGUGAUAAGCUGCGAUAAGCUUCGGGUAGGUGCAAAUAACCCUUGAUCCGGAGAUUUCCGAAUGGGACAACCUAGCCGUCUGAAGGACGGUUACUAGCACUUAAGUGUUAGAGCUAACGCAGGGAACUGAAACAUCUUAGUACCUGCAGGAAGAGAAAAUAAAUGAAUGAUUCCCCCAGUAGUGGCGAGCGAACGGGGAACAGCCCAAACCGUUGACGUCGCAAGGCGCCAGCGGGGUUGUAGGACCGCGACAUUGUAUGCAAAUCGUGAACAGAACACUUUGGAAAAUGUGACCAUAGACGGUGAUAGUCCAGUAUGUGAAGCGAAAUGCAGCAUAGCGGUAUCCUGAGUAACGCGGGACACGAGGAAUCCUGCGCGAAUCUGCCGGGACCAUCCGGUAAGGCUAAAUACUCCCGUGAGACCGAUAGCGAACGAGUACUGUGAAGGAAAGGUGAAAAGAACCCCGAGCAGGGGAGUGAAAUAGUUCCUGAAACCAUACGCCUACAAGCGGUCGGAGCAUCUUACGAUGUGACGGCGUGCCUUUUGCAUAAUGAUCCUACGAGUUACCGUCACUGGCGAGGUUGAGUGUCAUGAGACACGUAGCCGCAGUGAAAGCGAGCCUGAAUAGGGCGCAUAGUCAGUGGGGGUAGACGCGAAACCAAGUGAUCUACACUUGGCCAGGAUGAAGUCCCGGUAACACGGGAUGGAGGUCCGCACCAAUAAGCGUUGAAAAGCUUCUGGAUGAGCCGAGUGUAGGAGUGAAAGGCCAAUCAAACUUGGAGAUAGCUCGUACUCCCCGAAAGGCAUUUAGGUGCCGCGUCGGAUGGUCACCGUGAGAGGUAGAGCGACCGAUAGGACAAGAGGGCUUCACCGCCUAUCGAGUCCUGACGAACUCCGAAUGCUCACGGUCUGCAGUCCGGCAGUAAGGGGGCGGGUGCUAAGGUCCGUCCCCGAGAGGAGAAGAAUCCAGACCGCCGUCUAAGGUCCCGGAGUUCUGCCUGAGUUAGUCUAACGAAGUCUGGUCCCUAUGACAGCUAGGAUGUUGGCUUGGAAGCAGCCAUUCAUUCAAAGAGUGCGUAACAGCUCACUAGUCGAGGGUCCGGGCAUGGAUAAUAAUCGGGUAUAAGGCAGACACCGAAGGCGCGGGAUAGCAUUUAAGAAAGUAUCGGUAGGGGAGCAUACUCACAGCGUGGAAUGGUGUACGUAAGUUAUCCUGGAGCGGUGAGUAAAGCAAAUGUAGGAAUAAGUAACGAUAAGGAGGGUUAGAUUCCCUCCCGCUGUAAGACCAAGGUUUCCCGGGCAAUGCCAAUCAGCCCGGGGUCAGUCGGGUCCUAAGUCUAAGCCGAACGGCGAUGGCGAUGGCAGAGACGGUUAAUAUUCCGUCACUGCCGCAUGGGGCGACGUGGAGACGGAGCAGUGAAACCACCGCGGGGCGACGGAAGUCCCCGUUGAAGAGUGUAGGUGUUGAGGAUGGCAGGCAAAUCCACCGUCCGAGCUGAACUUGAUAGUAUGGAGUCUUCUUCGGAAGAAUCCAAUAGUGUGGGUAAUCAUACUCCCGAGAAAAUCCGCUAAGCUUAACCCAUGCGGCACCCGUACCGCAAACGGACACACGUGGUCGGGUAGAACAUACUAAGGCGUUGAGAGAUUCAUGGUUAAGGAACUAGGCAAAUUGACCCUGUAACUUCGGGAUAAAGGGUCCUCGUGAUGAGCGAGGCGCAGAGAAUAGGUCCAGGCAACUGUUUAACAAAAACACAGGGCUGUGCAAACUCGAAAGAUGACGUAUACAGCCUGACACCUGCCCGGUGCCGGAAGGUUAAGAGGAGAUGUCACUCGCAAGAGGAAGCAUUGAAUUGAAGCCCCGGUAAACGGCGGCCGUAACUAUAACGGUCCUAAGGUAGCGAAAUUCCUUGUCGGGU
RNAcentral lists this ribosomal RNA (1970 nucleotides) under human gut metagenome. Its description in RNAcentral is "bacterial LSU rRNA". It matches the Rfam family "Bacterial large subunit ribosomal RNA", at positions 1 to 1977 of the family's 2925-position model. The record is from RNAcentral.